This 2169-nucleotide long non-coding RNA is filed under the name Canis lupus familiaris (dog). RNAcentral's name for it is "lncRNA (ENSCAFG00030012586.1)". The record is from RNAcentral. Lineage: Eukaryota; Metazoa; Chordata; Mammalia; Carnivora; Canidae.
CUGAUGGAGAUUCCACCCUCCUACCUUGCUGGUGAGAUGGAGGAUUUAGGCAUUCUCACUUGCUACAUCUGUGAUGUGACCCAGGAUUUGUUUUUGUGGAGGGUGCUGCUGGCAGAUGAGCCUUACCUAAAGGUAUGUAUUUCUGCUUCAAUUUUAAACCAGCUAUGAUACACAGAGAAUAAAGUAGGUUUGUUGUUUUUAAAGCCUCUUCAAUCUCAUGGAAAGUUUGGUUCAUCUAUUUCUGGAGAGGUUUAGAAUACAUGGAAUCCACACCCUCACAGACACGUGCACACACAGAAUCCUCACAGGCCUACAUGCCCAGCUCUGGGAAGCUGCCUUUCCCUUGAGACACUUUAUUAUUUAGAAAGGAAAAGCGACGUGUGAAAUAAAUCUUCAGGCUGCAGAGAAUUUAUCUACAGAAUACUGUUGUCAUCCUGAUAUUCAGGAAAUAAAAAUUGCUCUAAAUAGCAAAGGCAGAUAAUUACUGCCUUCCAAAGAGAGGUUGGCAAGAAUUUCAAAGAAAGGAAAGCAAGUUCGCUUCCACCAAGUAAGGCUACAGAUAAUAAAUUUGCUGUUGAUGUAGAAGCUGGUGGAAACCCAGCAGAAGCGCCAGUGUUAAUUACCCUGGGCUGAUAGAGAUUACCCGGGUGAUCUGUAUGUAAUACAGAUGUUUGUGGUACAGAUUCUAAGGAAAACAUACCCCCUUUACGACACCAACUCUUGCUUCUGUGGGCAGUUUGGUCCAUGCCCAGUAGAGGGAAGUCAGCCCCAGAGAUGAUCACUUUUCUUAAGACACUUAUAUUUGUUUCCUAUCGUGGCUGUAAUGUUACCACAAAUUUAGUGGCUCGAACAACAUAAAUUUAUCAUCUAGCAUUUCUGGAGGUCAGAAGGGCUGGGGUCAGCAGGGCUGCAUUCCUUCUGGAGGCUGUCAGGAGAGAGUCUGCUUCCUUGGAGGCCACCUGCAUUCCUUGGCUCUUGGUCUCUUCUGCAACUGGGUCACCCCCAUCUCUGCCCUCACUGUCACAUCGCCUUGCCUGGCUCUGACCCCUGCCUCCCCCUCUUGUAAGGACUCUUGUGAGUACACUGGGUCCACCCAGAUAACUAAGGAUAACCUCCCCAUGUCAGAGUCCUUACCUUAGUCACACCUGUCUCUUUGGCAAUAGAAGCUAAAAGGGUUAAAGGUUCUGGGGACCACAACAUGGACACCUCUGGGGGUUAUUAUUCUAUCCACAUUUUCUACUUCCAAGAGAACAGGUAAGGAGCCCAGUUUGCUUGGCCUGCUCCAAUUUAAGGCAAGAUCAGAAGGGCCCAGGUUGUACUUGUGUUCCUAAGGGAGCAGGCAUCCUAGAAGAUGCCCUGAGAGCAUGUGGGAGGAGAGUAGCCAGAGCAGGUGGUCUUAGACUUGGCCUUCUCUUUUAUUUAUUUUUCUAAGUAAACUUUUUAUUUGAGAGUGGUGUUUGACCUACAGUGAAAUUGUGAAGGUGUGAAAGCUGCCGUAUACUUCACACCCGGUUCCCCCUAUUAUUAACAUCUGACAUUAGUGUGGUACAUUUGAAGCAGUCAAUGAACCAACAUUGAUAUGUUACUAUUAACUAAAGUUCACACUCUAUUCAAAUUUCCUUAGUUUUUAUCCAAUGUCCCUUUUCAGUGUUCCAGGAUCCCAUAUUCCUUUUAAUCCUAAUGUCUUCUUGGGCUUCGCUUGGUUGUGACAUUUUCUCAAACUUUUCUCAUUUUUGAUGACCUUGACAGUUUUGAGAAGUACUGGGUCGGGUGUCUUAUAGAAUAUCUUUCACUUGGGAUUUGUCUGGUGUCAUUCUCAUAAUUAUAUUGGGGUUAUGCAUUUUUUUUAGAGGAAGACCACAGACGUAAAGUGCCAUUUUCGUCACAUGCACCAAGGGCAUGACCUAACACUGUUGACGUUAACUUGGUCACCUGGUUGACAGGUUUCUCCACUAUGAAAUCACUCUUCUUUGCUGACCCAUAGUUGGUAAGUUUGGGGCUUCCCAUGGGGUUAUAGCUUCAUAAUUCUGAGUCAACUAUAUAUGUGUAAGGGCUCGAACAAAGAAGUAAAUGGAUGACAGUAGGAGUCAGUGUCCCCACUGUUGAAGUAGAAGAUUACAAAGGCAGGGGGAGGUGGCUAAAAUAAACCACGUGCUAAUGUAUUGCAUU